This 253-nucleotide ribosomal RNA is filed under the name uncultured bacterium. Its description in RNAcentral is "partial 16S ribosomal RNA". It matches the Rfam family "Bacterial small subunit ribosomal RNA", at positions 524 to 776 of the family's 1533-position model. The record is from RNAcentral.
UACGGGGGGGGCAAGCGUUGUUCGGAAUUACUGGGCGUAAAGGGCUCGUAGGUGGCCAACUAAGUCAUACGUGAAAUCCCUCGGCUUAACCGGGGAACUGCGUCUGAUACUGGAUGGCUUGAGUUUGGGAGAGGGACGCGGAAUUCCAGGUGUAGCGGUGAAAUGCGUAGAUAUCUGGAGGAACACCGGUGGCGAAGGCGACAUCCUGGACCGGUAUUGACGCUGAGGCGCGAAAGCCAGGGGAGCAAACGGG